This is a long non-coding RNA of Acanthisitta chloris (rifleman), 370 nucleotides long. RefSeq lists it as uncharacterized. The record is from RefSeq and is a predicted model, not a curated record. Lineage: Eukaryota; Metazoa; Chordata; Aves; Passeriformes; Acanthisittidae. The transcript is spliced from 3 exons.
CCAUGUCCUCGCUGCUGUCCCUCCAGGAGGAGAAUCGCAUCCUGCAGCAGGAGCUGUCGCGCGUGGAGGACUUGCUGGCGCAGAGCCGCGCCGAGCGCGAUGAGUUGGCCAUCAAGUACAAUGCCAUCAGUGAGAGGCUGGAGCAGACCCUGCGGCUGGAGACAGGGGAGCGGGAGGCAGCGGAGAGCCGGAGCCUGGCCCAGCACAACAUCGAGCUGCGGCGGCUGCUGGAGGAGGAACAAGCCGCCUACAAGCGCAAGCUCCAGGCGUACCAGGAGGGCCAGCAGCGACAAGCUCAGCUGGUGCAGAAGCUCCAAGCCAAGGUGCUGCAGUAUAAGAAGAAAUGCGGCGAAGUGGAGCAGCAGCUGCU